AAAGUAGGAGGUAAAUCAUAUAUUCCAUCCAUUUAAAAAUUUAUAUAAUUUUAAAUUUUAAUAGUAAAAAAUUAAGGUGUUUUAUGACUAGUGCGAUAAUAUUGACAUUCGGAUAGUUGGAGUAUAAAAUUAUUUGCUUUUGAAUGUACAGAUAGCACUAGCAACAUACUCGCGCUUUGCAACGGAUGUGAUUUUUAAGUUCAUAAUUAUUAUAUUAUAUUAUACAUUAUGUAAAGUCACUUAAUAGAGUUAAAUAAAAAUACUAAUUUUUAUAUAUAUUUCUUAUUUGGAGAGAGAGAAGAGAACAAUUAAGUAAAAAUUAAAGUCUGAGAAAGAGAGCGCACUUUCAAACUUUCAAAUAUAGUAUAUUUUAUUCAUAAUUUAGAAAAAUAAAAAUUAAAGAAUUUUAAAAAUGUAUAAUUACUAAAUUAAAGUUUAAAAUUAUUUUAACUAUUCAAAUCUUUUGUUUGGAGAAAGAGAGAAAAAAGAGCAUUAAAUUAAAAAUUAAAUUGAGGGAAAGAGAAAAGCAGCAUGCAUAUUUCUCAAUGAGAGAGGAAAUGAGAAAAUAAAAGGUAUAAAUAUUAAAUUAAAUAAAGAUUAAGUAAGAGAGAGUACACACUCCAUGAAAGUGAGAAAGAUAUGAAGAAGAUACUGUGUUACAUUAAGAGAUUAUUUUUUUAGUAGACCCAAUUGAAAUAGAACAGAUUCAUGAUCUACACUGCACA
RNAcentral lists this long non-coding RNA (725 nucleotides) under Ananas comosus (pineapple). Its description in RNAcentral is "long non-coding RNA (ACOM_LNC000416)". Lineage: Eukaryota; Viridiplantae; Streptophyta; Magnoliopsida; Poales; Bromeliaceae. The record is from RNAcentral.